GCCGAAGUGGCGGAAUAGGCAGACGCGCCAGACUCAAAAUCUGGUGAUGGCAACAUCGUGCCGGUUCGACCCCGGCCUUCGGCA
This 84-nucleotide transfer RNA is filed under the name Lactococcus sp. RNAcentral describes it as "tRNA-Leu". It matches the Rfam family "tRNA". From Rfam's summary of the family: Transfer RNA (tRNA) molecules are approximately 80 nucleotides in length. Their secondary structure includes four short double-helical elements and three loops (D, anti-codon, and T loops). RNAcentral also lists the same sequence under 5 other names. Lineage: Bacteria; Bacillati; Bacillota; Bacilli; Lactobacillales; Streptococcaceae. The record is from RNAcentral.